Molecule: ribosomal RNA, 461 nt
Filed under: uncultured bacterium
Lineage: Bacteria
Description: partial 16S ribosomal RNA
Rfam family: Bacterial small subunit ribosomal RNA
Source: RNAcentral
AGUGAACGCUGGCGGCGUGCCUAAUACAUGCAAGUCGAACGGAGAUUAAGUAGCUUGCUAUUUAAUCUUAGUGGCGCACGGGUGAGUAAUAUAUAGCUAACUUGCCAUUACUAAGGGACAACAGUUGGAAACGACUGCUAAUACCUUAUACUCCGUAUCUAUAUAAGUAGAUACGGGAAAGUUUUUCGGUAAUGGAUAGGGCUAUAUCGUAUCAGCUAGUUGGUAAGGUAAUGGCUUACCAAGGCUAUGACGCGUAACUGGUCUGAGAGGAUGAUCAGUCACACUGGAACUGAGACACGGUCCAGACUCCUACGGGAGGCAGCAGUAGGGAAUAUUGCUCAAUGGGGGAAACCCUGAAGCAGCAACGCCGCGUGGAGGAUGACACUUUUCGGAGCGUAAACUCCUUUUCUUGGGAAAGAAUUAUGACGGUACCCAAGGAAUAAGCACCGGCUAACUCCGUG